RNAcentral lists this ribosomal RNA (207 nucleotides) under uncultured bacterium. RNAcentral's name for it is "partial 16S ribosomal RNA". It matches the Rfam family "Bacterial small subunit ribosomal RNA", at positions 568 to 774 of the family's 1533-position model. The record is from RNAcentral.
CACGUAGGCGGACUGGAAAGUUGGAGGUGAAAUCCCAGGGCUCAACCUUGGAACUGCCUUCAAAACUAUCAGUCUGGAGUUCGAGAGAGGUGAGUGGAAUUCCGAGUGUAGAGGUGAAAUUCGUAGAUAUUCGGAGGAACACCAGUGGCGAAGGCAGGUCUCUGGGCCGUUACUGACGCUGAGGAGCGAAAGCGUGGGGAGCGAACA